Astatotilapia calliptera (eastern happy) is the source of this 1232-nucleotide long non-coding RNA. NCBI's taxonomy places the organism in Eukaryota, Metazoa, Chordata, Actinopteri, Cichliformes, Cichlidae. The record is from Ensembl.
CUGAUUCUCUUGUGAUUGGCUUUCUGGAAACGCAGCUGUGGCUGGUUGUUAUGCUGGGUAUAUUUGGAUGAUGCCCUUAGAAAUAGUGUCCGUUAAUGCCAUCUCUUUAAUGUACGUCAGCAAAGUCAUGUUAAGACAGGAAAGAAGUCAAGCUCCAAAUUAUCAUGGUAAACAAGCAUUACUGGUAUUAUUUACUCUUCUGUUAAACUCAUCUAACCUUUAAGGUGUUUUCUAGUGGAAAAGCAAACAUGUUUACUGAUAAUAUCAAAAUCUGUGAUGAGAAUAAUGGCAGCUUUGUGGCUUUUAAAUGUAAUCAUUUUUUUUUCUUUUUUUCAGGUUAGUAAAAAACAGAAAUGUUGUUUUGUUCACUAAUUGACCACGCUUGUAACUGAAAUGGUGGCUCAAUUAUCUGAUGUGUGAUUUUUUUUUUUGGCACUGCUUCUAUACACAGAGGACUCUUUUUCUUUUCAGCACGCGAAUUCUAUAACACAGCCCAUGUCACUUAAAGACCUGCAAGCAUCAUUAAUAAUGCCAUGACCCCUAGACGAUGGUGAAAACAAAUGAAACUGUGUUUCAGAGCAGCUGUGGAUCAGAGCUAUACAACUCCACUGAGGGCGGUAACUCAGCUAAAUGAGUGGGCUAUCAAAUAAUUACAAUCAUUGCCUCCUUUCUACUAGAUUAAAAAAAAAAAAAAGCAGUCAGGGUCUGAAACCUAUACUAAAUUUGUGGCCCCUCCAACAAGGACCUCCCUUAUCUCCUGACAUGCCCCCAGUUUCGGUCCAACCCCGCAUCCCCUAUAAUAACCUCUCAAAGCAGACAGGGAACCCCCUAAAUAGCCCUUAGACAACCACGGGUGGGCAGACAUCCACCCACCGGGCUGCUGCUGUUCCAUACGCUGUUAUUAUAUAUGUACGUACAUACAGCCCCACAGCCAAGAGCAAACCCAGUCAAAUUAUUAUGAUUGGGUUAAUGAGUAACAUUCACUAAUCCACUGGCUACUGUUGGCUCCUUCAUAUACUAAACCACUGCUUCAGGCCUCUGCUGUCUCCCACCUGAACUGUCAGCUAACAAAUUCUUUAAAAAUCUAUAAAAUAUCUCAUCUCCUCUUUGUGACUUGACCCAUCACUAAGGCAACGUAGAGGCACUCCUCUCACACAGGGUCACAGGUCACAAAAAAUGAACACUAAGAAAUGACAGUAAGUACUUUAUUCAGAGUCCCAAAUGGAUUAGAU